CCCUUAGAUGUUCUGGGCCGCACGCGCGCUACAAUGAUGAAUUCAACGAGUUUAUAACCUUGGUUGAAAAGCCUGGGCAAUCUUUUGAACUUUCGUCGUGAUGGGGCUAGACCCUUGCAAUUAUUGGUCUCCAACGAGGAAUUCCUAGUAAACGCAAGUCAUCAGCUUGCAUUGAUUACGUCCCUGCCCUUUGUACACACCGCCCGUCGCACCUACCGAUUGAAUGGUCCGGUGAAAUCUUCGGAUUGAGACUUUGAUUUCUUCACGGAAAACGCUGUUUUAAAAAGUUGAUUAAACCUUACCAUUUAGAGGAAGGUGAAGUCGUAACA
RNAcentral lists this ribosomal RNA (329 nucleotides) under uncultured eukaryote. RNAcentral's name for it is "partial 18S ribosomal RNA". It matches the Rfam family "Eukaryotic small subunit ribosomal RNA", at positions 1470 to 1796 of the family's 1831-position model. The record is from RNAcentral.